CCUACGGGUGGCAGCAGUGAGGAAUAUUGGUCAAUGGACGAGAGUCUGAACCAGCCAAGUAGCGUGAAGGAUGACUGCCCUAUGGGUUGUAAACUUCUUUUAUAUGGGAAUAAAAUGUUCCACGUGUGGGAUUUUGUAUGUACCAUAUGAAUAAGGAUCGGCUAACUCCGUGCCAGCAGCCGAGGUAAUACGGAGGAUCCGAGCGUUAUCCGGAUUUAUUGGGUUUAAAGGGAGCGUAGGUGGAUUGUUAAGUCAGUUGUGAAAGUUUGCGGCUCAACCGUAAAAUUGCAGUUGAAACUGGCAGUCUUGAGUACAGUAGAGGUGGGCGGAAUUCGUGGUGUAGCGGUGAAAUGCUUAGAUAUCACGAAGAACUCCGAUUGCGAAGGCAGUUCACUGGACUGCAACUGACACUGAGGCUCGAAAGUGUGGGUAUCAAACAGGAUUAGAUACCCUAGUAGUC
RNAcentral lists this ribosomal RNA (460 nucleotides) under uncultured bacterium. Its description in RNAcentral is "partial 16S ribosomal RNA". It matches the Rfam family "Bacterial small subunit ribosomal RNA", at positions 338 to 795 of the family's 1533-position model. The record is from RNAcentral.